Bactrocera oleae (olive fruit fly) is the source of this 973-nucleotide long non-coding RNA. RefSeq lists it as uncharacterized. Lineage: Eukaryota; Metazoa; Arthropoda; Insecta; Diptera; Tephritidae. The record is from RefSeq and is a predicted model, not a curated record.
CGGCAUUUACAUAUGUUGAAUCGAAAUCGUAUAUAUUGAAUGAAAAGACAUCGCAAACCUUAGACUUUAGUGUCGUUCUCAGGGACUAUAAUAUUUGACAAAAAAUAGUAAAAGACCCCAUGCAGUGCUGCAAAAUGGGUGGAGGCUGGCGUGAAGUUGUGAAGCAAGAUAUGUGGCUUGAAACUCACUUACGCAUUUGGCCCAUUUCGAUGAACGUAUCAGGCGAGAAACUGCUCCUCAUGCAGAGUACAUAUAUGUGUAAAAGUCUUCGCCUCCGUGAUGGCGAUAACCUCCUUAUUCGAUUAAAAUGACUGCCCGGCUACUGAAGUUUUCGACAUCACAACUAACCGAGUGAAGUUCACUGACAGGACUAUUUCUUAGUCUUUGCUGUGUACCAGUCACAAAACGACACAAAAACCCUUGCGCUUAAAUAAUGUUAAACAAUGUUUUAAAGUGGUCCCACCUUUGCACGUGCGGCAUACAUCAAGCCGAAAGUUUUCCUCUGCCUAAUAUUUGAAACAGGAUAAUGUUGACGCGGUAUUUUCAGACCAAUAUUCCUACUCUCUCAGUUAUCUUGCUUAAUUGGCGAUCUGCCAACACAAAAUGUUGUUAGCCUUUUUCGUUAAUGUUUGUUAAACCAAUUUUUGACACUCGCAAUCGAAGAAAAAGAUAGAAGAAAAUUCACCAGCAUCCAAGUAUUGACAAUAUUUUGCAAUUACCCUUCUCAAACCAAGAACCGAAUCAUUUACUGACCCUUUUCCAGGUUUCUAAAAUCCGCUGACGUUUCCGCUUGUUAUCAAUACAAAUCCAUUGCAUUGCCCAGAACAAUUACACAAGUUUAGUAUUUUUACAUAUUUAAUUUAAUUUAUGUUUACAAAAGUACAAAUAACCAUUCAUAUUAAGGUACACAUAUAAUUCGAUUUUUGGGACGACUUUCGAAUUCGUUAUAUACAUGCAUAUACAUACAUAGAUG